AACAGGGAUUGCCCUAGUAACGGCGAGUGAAGCGGCAUCAGCUCAAAUUUGAAAUCUGGCUCUUUCAGAGUCCGAGUUGUAAUUUGCAGAGGGCGCUUUGGUGUCGGCAGCGGUCCAAGUUCCUUGGAACAGGACGUCACAGAGGGUGAGAAUCCCGUACGUGGUCGCUGACCUACACCGUGUAAAGCCCCUUCGACGAGUCGAGUUGUUUGGGAAUGCAGCUCUAAAUGGGAGGUAAAUUUCUUCUAAAGCUAAAUACUGGCCAGAGACCGAUAGCGCACAAGUAGAGUGAUCGAAAGAUGAAAAGCACUUUGGAAAGAGAGUCAAACAGCACGUGAAAUUGUUGAAAGGGAAGCGCUUGCAGCCAGACUUGUUUGUAGUUGCUCAUCCGGGCUUUUGCCCGGUGCACUCUUCUGCGAACAGGCCAGCAUCAGUUUGGACGGUUGGAUAAAGGCCUCUGUCACGUACCUUCUCUCGGGAAGGCCUUAUAGGGGAGGCGUCAUGCAACCAGUCUGGACUGAGGUCCGCGCAUCUGCUAGGAUGCUGGCGUAAUGGCUGUAAGCGGCCCGUCUUGAAACACGGACCAAGGAGUCUAACAUCUAUGCGAGUGUUUGGGUGUCAAGCCCGAGCGCGCAAUGAAAGUGAACGGAGGUGGGAUCCCGCAAGGGUGCACCAUCGACCGAUCCUGAAGUCUUCGGAUGGAUUUGAGUAAGAGCAUGGCUGUUGGGACCCGAAAGAUGGUGAACUAUGCUUGAAUAGGGUGAAGCCAGAGGAAACUCUGGUGGAGGCUCGCAGCGGUUCUGACGUGCAAAUCGAUCGUCAAAUUUGGGCAUAGGGGCGAAAGACUAAUCCGAACUUUCCAGUUCGCC
Molecule: ribosomal RNA, 869 nt
Filed under: Pyrenochaetopsis terricola
Lineage: Eukaryota; Fungi; Ascomycota; Dothideomycetes; Pleosporales; Pyrenochaetopsidaceae
Description: partial 28S ribosomal RNA
Rfam family: Eukaryotic large subunit ribosomal RNA
Source: RNAcentral